RNAcentral lists this ribosomal RNA (447 nucleotides) under uncultured bacterium. RNAcentral describes it as "partial 16S ribosomal RNA". It matches the Rfam family "Bacterial small subunit ribosomal RNA", at positions 29 to 523 of the family's 1533-position model. The record is from RNAcentral.
AGCGAACGCUGGCGGCAGGCUUAACACAUGCAAGUCGAACGCCCCGCAAGGGGAGUGGCAAACGGGUGAGUAACACGUGGGAACGUACCCUUUGGUUCGGAAUAACUUGGGGAAACUCAAGCUAAUACCGGAUAAGCCCUUAUGGGGAAAGGUUUACUGCCGAAGGAUCGGCCCGCGUCUGAUUAGCUAGUUGGUGGGGUAAUGGCUCACCAAGGCGACGAUCAGUAGCUGGUCUGAGAGGAUGAUCAGCCACACUGGGACUGAGACAAGGCCCAGACUCCUACGGGAGGCAGCAGUGGGGAAUAUUGGACAAUGGGGGCAACCCUGAUCCAGCCAUGCCGCGUGAGUGAUGAAGGCCUUAGGGUUGUAAAGCUCUUUUACCCGGGACGAUAAUGACCGUACCGGGAGAAUAAGCCCCGGCUAACUUCGUGCCAGCCGCCGCCGUAA